Molecule: ribosomal RNA, 460 nt
Filed under: uncultured bacterium
Lineage: Bacteria
Description: partial 16S ribosomal RNA
Rfam family: Bacterial small subunit ribosomal RNA
Source: RNAcentral
CCUACGGGGGGCAGCAGUGAGGAAUAUUGGUCAAUGGACGAGAGUCUGAACCAGCCAAGUAGCGUGAAGGAUGACUGCCCUAUGGGUUGUAAACUUCUUUUAUAUGGGAAUAAAACAGGGUAUGCAUACCCUCUUGUAUGUACCAUAUGAAUAAGGAUCGGCUAACUCCGUUCCAGCAGCCGCGGUAAUACGGAGGGUCCGAGCGUUAUCCGGAUUUAUUGGGUUUAAAGGGAGCGUAGGUGGAUUGUUAAGUCAGUUGUGAAAGUUUGGGGCUCAACCGUAAAAUUGCAGUUGAAACUGGCAGUCUUGAGUACAGUAGAGGUGGGCGGAAUUCGUGGUGUAGCGGUGAAAUGCGUAGAUAUCACGAAGAACUCCGAUUGCGAAGGCAGCUCACUGGACUGCAACUGACACUGAGGCGCGAAAGUGUGGGUAGCAAACAGGAUUAGAUACCCCAGUAGUC